RNAcentral lists this small nuclear RNA (160 nucleotides) under Oryza brachyantha (malo sina). Its description in RNAcentral is "U1 spliceosomal RNA". It matches the Rfam family "U1 spliceosomal RNA". From Rfam's summary of the family: U1 is a small nuclear RNA (snRNA) component of the spliceosome (involved in pre-mRNA splicing). Its 5' end forms complementary base pairs with the 5' splice junction, thus defining the 5' donor site of an intron. The record is from Rfam by way of RNAcentral. Lineage: Eukaryota; Viridiplantae; Streptophyta; Magnoliopsida; Poales; Poaceae.
AUACUUACCUGGACGGGGUCGACGGGCGAUCAGCAAGGCCCGUGGCCUAGAUCAAUGGCUUACAUUGCACUUGGUGAGCGCGUUGGUUUACCAUCUCCCCAAGUGGGAGAGUGGACGUCAUAAUUUGUGGUAGAGGGGGUACGCGUUCGCGCGGCCCCUG